This 1503-nucleotide ribosomal RNA is filed under the name Serratia sp. CB2. Its description in RNAcentral is "bacterial SSU rRNA". It matches the Rfam family "Bacterial small subunit ribosomal RNA". The record is from RNAcentral. Lineage: Bacteria; Pseudomonadati; Pseudomonadota; Gammaproteobacteria; Enterobacterales; Yersiniaceae.
AGUUUGAUCCUGGCUCAGAUUGAACGCUGGCGGCAGGCUUAACACAUGCAAGUCGAGCGGUAGCACAGGGGAGCUUGCUCCCUGGGUGACGAGCGGCGGACGGGUGAGUAAUGUCUGGGAAACUGCCUGAUGGAGGGGGAUAACUACUGGAAACGGUAGCUAAUACCGCAUAAUGUCGCAAGACCAGAGAGGGGGACCUUCGGGCCUCUUGCCAUCAGAUGUGCCCAGAUGGGAUUAGCUAGUAGGUGGGGUAAUGGCUCACCUAGGCGACGAUCCCUAGCUGGUCUGAGAGGAUGACCAGCCACACUGGAACUGAGACGCGGUCCAGACUCCUACGGGAGGCAGCAGUGGGGAAUAUUGCACAAUGGGCGCAAGCCUGAUGCAGCCAUGCCGCGUGUGUGAAGAAGGCCUUCGGGUUGUAAAGCACUUUCAGCGAGGAGGAAGGUGGUGAGCUUAAUACGCUCAUCAAUUGACGUUACUCGCAGAAGAAGCACCGGCUAACUCCGUGCCAGCAGCCGCGGUAAUACGGAGGGUGCAAGCGUUAAUCGGAAUUACUGGGCGUAAAGCGCACGCAGGCGGUUUGUUAAGUCAGAUGUGAAAUCCCCGGGCUCAACCUGGGAACUGCAUUUGAAACUGGCAAGCUAGAGUCUCGUAGAGGGGGGUAGAAUUCCAGGUGUAGCGGUGAAAUGCGUAGAGAUCUGGAGGAAUACCGGUGGCGAAGGCGGCCCCCUGGACGAAGACUGACGCUCAGGUGCGAAAGCGUGGGGAGCAAACAGGAUUAGAUACCCUGGUAGUCCACGCUGUAAACGAUGUCGAUUUGGAGGUUGUGCCCUUGAGGCGUGGCUUCCGGAGCUAACGCGUUAAAUCGACCGCCUGGGGAGUACGGCCGCAAGGUUAAAACUCAAAUGAAUUGACGGGGGCCCGCACAAGCGGUGGAGCAUGUGGUUUAAUUCGAUGCAACGCGAAGAACCUUACCUACUCUUGACAUCCAGAGAACUUUCCAGAGAUGGAUUGGUGCCUUCGGGAACUCUGAGACAGGUGCUGCAUGGCUGUCGUCAGCUCGUGUUGUGAAAUGUUGGGUUAAGUCCCGCAACGAGCGCAACCCUUAUCCUUUGUUGCCAGCGGUUCGGCCGGGAACUCAAAGGAGACUGCCAGUAAUAAACUGGAGGAAGGUGGGGAUGACGUCAAGUCAUCAUGGCCCUUACGAGUAGGGCUACACACGUGCUACAAUGGCGUAUACAAAGAGAAGCGACCUCGCGAGAGCAAGCGGACCUCAUAAAGUACGUCGUAGUCCGGAUUGGAGUCUGCAACUCGACUCCAUGAAGUCGGAAUCGCUAGUAAUCGUAGAUCAGAAUGCUACGGUGAAUACGUUCCCGGGCCUUGUACACACCGCCCGUCACACCAUGGGAGUGGGUUGCAAAAGAAGUAGGUAGCUUAACCUUCGGGAGGGCGCUUACCACUUUGUGAUUCAUGACUGGGGUGAAGUCGUAACAAGGUAGCCGU